RNAcentral lists this ribosomal RNA (253 nucleotides) under uncultured bacterium. RNAcentral describes it as "partial 16S ribosomal RNA". It matches the Rfam family "Bacterial small subunit ribosomal RNA", at positions 524 to 776 of the family's 1533-position model. The record is from RNAcentral.
UACGUAGGGGGCAAGCGUUGUCCGGAUUUACUGGGCGUAAAGCGUGCGCAGGCGGUUGGCAAAGUCAGCUGUGAAAGCCCCGGGCUUAACCUGGGAAUGGCGGUUGAAACUAGUCGACUCGAAUCUGGCAGAGGGGGGUGGAAUUCCACGUGUAGCAGUGAAAUGCGUAGAUAUCGUUUGGAACGCCAAUGGUGAAAACAGACAGCUGGGAGUGUGCUGACGCUGAGACACGAAAGCCAGGGGAGCGAACGGG